AGCUAAGAGCUCAUUUAAGGGAUGGCUUUGCAGAGGGRCUGAUCGGUCUGUUCCCUGUUUCACGCAGACAGCAUGCCCUUGUGCCUCUUUUCGAAACUGGAAGAACAGCCGGACUACUCAGAUCUGUUUGCAUUUCCUGCUGAGUUUCUGCAGUGCUGCACAGACGGUGGCCCUGAGCAGCCCCCUGCCGAGCUGGAUCUGUCACCCAAAACAUUUGCAGAGGGCAUGCAUCAUGGAAGAGAGAGCCCUGUGGCACAGCUCGUGGAGCUCGGGAGAAGGAGAUCUUCUGGGAAGUCUGUGCUGGGCAAGAGUAGCACAGCAAAUCUGGUGCCUCAGGGUGUUGAAGAGCACAAGCAGCCUUUGACAAGAAAAGGGAGCUGGGACAACAUAUACUCCAGGCGCGCUGUGAGCAGGGAGGAUGGUACAUGGGCACUGUGCUACAUCCAGGAAGUCCAGUAUCCGGGCAGAGCAGUUCCACUAGCCAAAGAGGAAUUUGAAGAUGACCCUUCCUACAAACCACCGCCACCACCGCCUCCUCCUUCUCCUUCUCCUUGCCUACCGGAGGACUCUAAUGAGGUUUCUUCAGAGAGAACAUCCCCUGCCUUUGAAGGGCUCAGCAGUCAGGACAGUCUUAUCCGUUAACCCUUCAUCAAACAACGGCUGAGGGAACCUGUCCUGGCACUGGCCCACUCCUAUCUCAGCUCCUGUCUCACCUUGUGUUUGGGGCCCCCUCCACCGUGUUUCCCUUGCCAGCCACAGGGCAGGUGAGGGAAGCAGCCGGGCACUUUCUACAGUCUCUAAACGUUCAGGACAGGUAAAAAUCUCUGAGAUCUGAAAAUAAAAGAAGAGCUUCUC
RNAcentral lists this long non-coding RNA (855 nucleotides) under Apteryx owenii (little spotted kiwi). Its description in RNAcentral is "lncRNA (ENSAOWG00000009153.1)". Lineage: Eukaryota; Metazoa; Chordata; Aves; Apterygiformes; Apterygidae. The record is from RNAcentral.